CCCGUUGGCGGGUGCUUACCAUGCAAGUCGAACGGUGAACACGGAGCUUGCUCUGUGGGAUCAGUGGCGAACGGGUGAGUAACACGUGAGCAACCUGCCCCUGACUCUGGGAUAAGCGCUGGAAACGGCGUCUAAUACUGGAUACGAGUAGCGGCCGCAUGGUCAGUUACUGGAAAGAUUUUUUGGUUGGGGAUGGGCUCGCGGCCUAUCAGCUUGUUGGUGAGGUAAUGGCUCACCAAGGCGUCGACGGGUAGCCGGCCUGAGAGGGUGACCGGCCACACUGGGACUGAGACACGGCCCAGACUCCUACGGGAGGCAGCAGUGGGGAAUAUUGCACAAUGGGCGGAAGCCUGAUGCAGCAACGCCGCGUGAGGGAUGACGGCCUUCGGGUUGUAAACCUCUUUUAGCAGGGAAGAAGCGAAAGUGACGGUACCUGCAGAAAAAGCGCCGGCUAACUACGUGCCAGCAGCCGCGGUAAUACGUAGGGCGCAAGCGUUAUCCGGAAUUAUUGGGCGUAAAGAGCUCGUAGGCGGUUUGUCGCGUCUGCUGUGAAAUCCCGAGGCUCAACCUCGGGCCUGCAGUGGGUACGGGCAGACUAGAGUGCGGUAGGGGAGAUUGGAAUUCCUGGUGUAGCGGUGGAAUGCGCAGAUAUCAGGAGGAACACCGAUGGCGAAGGCAGAUCUCUGGGCCGUAACUGACGCUGAGGAGCGAAAGGGUGGGGAGCAAACAGGCUUAGAUACCCUGGUAGUCCACCCCGUAAACGUUGGGAACUAGUUGUGGGGUCCAUUCCACGGAUUCCGUGACGCAGCUAACGCAUUAAGUUCCCCGCCUGGGGAGUACGGCCGCAAGGCUAAAACUCAAAGGAAUUGACGGGGACCCGCACAAGCGGCGGAGCAUGCGGAUUAAUUCGAUGCAACGCGAAGAACCUUACCAAGGCUUGACAUAUACGAGAACGGGCCAGAAAUGGUCAACUCUUUGGACACUCGUAAACAGGUGGUGC
This 1000-nucleotide ribosomal RNA is filed under the name Microbacterium sp. HBUM178283. RNAcentral describes it as "bacterial SSU rRNA". It matches the Rfam family "Bacterial small subunit ribosomal RNA", at positions 32 to 1044 of the family's 1533-position model. Lineage: Bacteria; Bacillati; Actinomycetota; Actinomycetes; Micrococcales; Microbacteriaceae. The record is from RNAcentral.